UUUAUUCAUCACCUCCAACCUUCAGCCAGGUUUUAACAUUCAUGUGAGCUCCUCUGAACUGGGAGGACUGGGACUGGUACACUGGAACACUUUGAGCCUAGUUAUCCUAAAAAAAACUUUUUUUUUUUAAAAAGGACAAAUUUUUGUCUUGCUGGCACAGUGUUGCUUUAGUGCUCUAAAGGGGGAACUUCACCCUAACAUUAAUGUUUGGUCUCCUCACUGAAAAGAUCGCAAAAAAUAGAUGCACCCGGUACAACCUGCAAAACAUAUAUAUGUAAUUGUUCACCUUCGGUACAAAGUAUUAUUAUGGAGGGGGAAAAUGUGUGCACCAAUCCAAUCAGACGAUAUCUCUUAGGCGCAGUUUCUGCCAAUCAAAGACAAGAUUUAAGAAACAAGGGGCGGAGCUACACAGAGCAAGCAGCAGCUCUGCAGAUACAGCUGAUCUGGACUGAACGCUGGAGUUACUGCUGAUGUGAACUGAGCCAAAAGCACAGGAUUUAAGGGUUCAGCUCAGUGGGAUGUGAUGUGAUCUUGGGCUGACAGGAACAUUUCGGCUUUUCCCGCUCAGUCCUCUGGUCUGAAAUGCACCCCUCAGAAGUGAUAUAGAGGCUUUCUGCCCCCCGAGAAGAAAGAGGGGGAACCUUCAGGACCGGCGUGUCUCCCCAGAAGCCUCUCUUUCCCGCAUCGAUUGGCCCUCAUUUCAAUCCCCGAG
Long non-coding RNA from Anguilla rostrata (American eel), 712 nucleotides. RefSeq lists it as uncharacterized. The transcript is spliced from 3 exons. NCBI's taxonomy places the organism in Eukaryota, Metazoa, Chordata, Actinopteri, Anguilliformes, Anguillidae. The record is from RefSeq and is a predicted model, not a curated record.